Molecule: RNA transcript, 3746 nt
Organism: Benincasa hispida (wax gourd)
Lineage: Eukaryota; Viridiplantae; Streptophyta; Magnoliopsida; Cucurbitales; Cucurbitaceae
Gene name: putative prolyl 4-hydroxylase 4
Source: RefSeq, a predicted model, not a curated record
AAAAGCCUCUGCUCUGUGAUAUUCUGCAUUUCCAGACUUCUGUCAAUUUCCUCCGAUAACUCUCUCUCUCUCUCUCGCUAUCGCUCUCUUCCUAAUUUGAUCCGACCUAGACUAUGUUCAAAUUUCGUAAUCUGUUAUUCAUCUUCUUGAUUUUGAUCUCAUUGGUUGUUCGGGAAUCAACUUGUUCGUAUGCUGGUUCGGCUAGCUCCACCGUAGAUCCUAGUAAAGUGAAGCAGAUUUCAUGGAAACCGAGAGCUUUUGUAUAUGAAGGUUUUCUCACGGACCUAGAAUGUGACCACCUGGUUUCUAUAGCGAGAUCCGAGCUAAAGAGAUCCGAGGUUGCUGAUAAUGAUUCAGGAAAGAGCAAGCUCAGUACUGUGCGAACGAGUUCAGGAAUGUUCAUUUCUAAAAGCAAGGAUCCAAUUGUUUCUGGCAUAGAGGACAAAAUUUCUGCAUGGACUUUUCUUCCAAAAGAAAAUGGGGAGGAUAUUCAGGUACUGAGAUAUGAGCAUGGAGAGAAAUAUGAGUCACAUUAUGAUUACUUUGUUGACAAGGUAAAUAUUGCCUGGGGAGGACAUCGUUUAGCUACAGUUCUUAUGUAUCUCUCUAAUGUGACCAAAGGCGGUGAAACAGUAUUCCCCUUGGCAGAGAAAUCUGCCCAUCGGAGAGCUUAUGAAACAGACGAGGAUCUCUCAGAGUGUGCAAGGAAAGGAAUUGCAGUGAAACCGAAGAAAGGCGAUGCCCUUCUUUUCUUUAGUCUUGAACCAAAUGCUAUCCCAGACACGAACAGUCUCCAUGGAGGUUGCCCUGUCCUUGAAGGAGAAAAAUGGUCAGCAACAAAGUGGAUUCACGUCGACUCUUUCAGCAAAAACUUAGGAAACAUUGGGAAUUGUACUGAUCUAAAUGAAAGUUGUGAGAGAUGGGCUGCCUUAGGGGAAUGCACCAAAAACCCAGAAUAUAUGGUCGGAUCUCCAGAAAUGCCUGGCUACUGUAGGCGGAGUUGCAGGAUCUGUUGAUUUGAUCUCAAUGAUACACUCGAAAUUUCGAUACCUUUAGGAGUUAUUUGUGGAAUGGAAAGCAGUACAACAUUUAUCGUGAAGCUAUCCUGAAGCACGGAUGGAUGAGGCAGUAGCCGUUGGGUAAUUAUGAUGAGAUGACAUAAAAGUGUAUUUAUUCGAUAUGAAGGUGAUUAGGAUGAGAAUGAAAGUUCGUAUAUUGGGGGACAGUUGAGAGGAAUCAUUGUGCCUCAUACAUUGAAGUAUGAAGAACUUAAAUCUCGCAUUUACAGAGUUACAAAUGUCAGUUCUUCAGAGUUUGAUCUUGUACUAAAAGUUAAAUAUAAGCUUGAAUUUGAAGCCCCUCCACAAUGUAUAAUGAAUAAUGGUGAUGUUCGCUUCCUUCUUUUACGAGAAGAGCUUAGUAGACUUUAGAUAGCUGUAACGUUGAAGACUAAUUAGGAUGAAAAUAUUGGAAUGAGGUUUGGAAAUGCGAGUUAUGAUGAUACGGCUGUGGACAGACAAUACGAGGAAUCAUAUCAGUUUCUUCGGGAAGAUGAUAUUCUAUUGUCUACCAACACUGUACCAUCAACAUUCGAUUAUAUGGAUCGUGGUCCUUCAGUGGAUGUGAAUGAGCAACCAGCAGGAUUGAAUGAAAUGGAUCGUGAUCAUGGAGAUAUGCGUCGUUCUAUAGCAGUUUCAGUAGUUCCACCAUUUGUGGCUUCAAGUCAUAAAACAGAGUUGAUUAUGCCUGGCACCUCUUUAUCUGGGACAGAAGACGUUGAAGUUGGUCAACUAUUUUUGAGCAAAGGACUUGAAAAUGAGAUUAUCUAUUCUGUUCAUCAACAAAAAUUUUGAAUUUAAGGUCGGGAAAUCAACCAAAUCUCUGUUCACUGUCAAAUGUAUUAGGGAGACAUGUAAGUGGAGUUUUCAUGCAGUCAAAAUGGAAGGGUCUGAUAUAUUCAAGAUCACAAAGUACUGCAGUUCGCACACAUGUUCCAUUGGAAUUUUGAAUCACUACCAUAGAUAAGCAACUGCUACGGUUGUUGGUCAGUUCAUUAAAGAUAAGUUCACGGGAAUAGGACGUAUUUAUAAACCUUGUUAUCGUUGAGGAUACGAGGAGAGAUUAUGGUGUGAACAUAAGUUAUGAUAAAGUGUGACGUGCCAGGGAAGUUGCAUAUGAUCUUACUAGAGGUACUCCAGAAUACUCAUAUUCCAUAUUACAUGUUUAUGGAGAAACGCUAAAAAUAAAAAAUCCAGGUACAAUUUUUUAGAUCGAACUUGAAGAUGAGGUGCAUUUUAAGUAUAUGUUUAUGAUAUUAGAGCCUUGUGUUAGAGGUUUCACAAGCUGUCGGUCUUGUAUUAUUGUUGAUGGGUCGCACUUAAAAGGAAAAUUCAAAGGCACCAUGUUAGUUGUAGUUUCUAUAGACGGGAACAAUCAAUUAUACCCACUAGCAUAUGCAAUAGUGGACAAUGAAACCGAUCGAUCAUGGAAAUGGUUUAUGUCAAACUUGAAAUGCAGUAUCGGAGAACCCGAUAAUCUGGUGUUAGUGUUUGAUCGGAUGGUAUCUAUUGAUAAUGCUAUUUGUGCAUUUUUUCCCACGGCAUUUCAUGGAUUGUACACAUGGCAUAUAAAACAAAAUCUGGUUACAAACUCUAAGGAUAGCACGAUUGCUAGGAUAUUUAAAGGUGCAGCAAGAGCAUUUCGCAUGAUAGAGUUCCAGACAAAAUUGGACGAACUUCGUAGUUUUAGAGAUGGUGUUGUCACGAAAUAUUUGGAAGACAUCGGUCUUCAAAGGUGGGCACAAGUUUACCAAAUAGAACGAAGAUAUGAUAACAUGACAACCAAUGGUGCAUAGUAUUUCAAUUCGUUAACUAAAGAGUAUUGAUUAUUGCCCAUAGUAUGCUUGAUUGAACAUGUUAGAGGAAUGCUCUAAUUGUGGUUCUACGAACGGAGGAAUUACUGGGCAUUUCGAAUGACAUUGCACUCUGACUACUAUGAAACCCGAUUGGCAAGUGAGGCCGAUAAGGGCAGACAAUAUCAGGUGGAGCUUAUUGAUUGUUAUCGGGUACACGUGCGAGAUAAUCGAUUGGACGGUAUUGUCAGUCUUCACACGAAGGAAUGCACGUGUAAGGAAUUCGACUCACUUGGUAUCCCGUGUUCGCAUGCAAUUGUUGCUGUCAAGGAACAAAAUAUACCCAUCCACAGUCUUUGCAGUCGAUUUUAUACAAUGGACUAUCUAAUGACUGCGUAUGUGGAGCCUAUAAAUUCAUUUGGCCACAUAUCUGAAUGGAAAAGACCUCAUAGAUAUGUAGAAAAGAUUAUCCUUCCUCUGAAGUUUGUGCCACAAGUCGGGCGACGGAGAGUGAGAAGAAUAUCAUCUAGAGGAGAAUUUCGCAGACAAAUGAAAUGUGGUCGGUGUGGGAAUUAUGGGCAUAAUCGCCAAAAUUGUACCAAACUACUUACAACCGUGCGACGUGCUGAAAAUGCAGAGACUGUGACACAAACAUCUCUCAUCUAGUUUAGUUUGUAACUAGUAACAUUUCAUUUGUUAUAAAUAUCAUUGAUCAAUUUUUCAUACGUCAUACUUGUAACAUGCUUGUAACAUACUUCAUACCUUUUCAUACUUCAUACUUGUAACACUUCAUCUUUCAUGCUUUCAUCUUGUAAACAAAAAACAAUAACAAGUUAGAGUAUUUCUAUAAUAGCAAUCUUCAUACUCUCUCAAUCUUCAUACUUGUAACAAAAAA